Molecule: long non-coding RNA, 592 nt
Filed under: Homo sapiens (human)
Lineage: Eukaryota; Metazoa; Chordata; Mammalia; Primates; Hominidae
Description: MIR3659 host gene, transcript variant 2 (MIR3659HG)
Source: RNAcentral
GUGUGGGCCCCGCUUUCCCCCAGCGCUGGAGACUCCGAGCCCGGCCGGUCCCACAUUCCACGCGAGCUGAAUUCCCGCCCGCAUCCCGCCCGGGCAGCAGGGAUUGCCGGCUCCGGGAGGCGCUCGGGCUCCGAGAAGCGGCUCAGCCCCGCGCCCCUCCCUCCUCAGUACCGCUGCCGGCGGACCAGGAUUCCCGCGGGUCCUGGCGGCUGCGAGCGCGAGGCGGCGCGGAUUCGCGGCUCGGUUCCGGCGCGACUGCUCACCGCGCCCGCCUCGCCUCCCGCGGCUGCCAGCGUGCACUGGGCGCUCCUCGGCGCGUCUGCCCGGCCCGUCUCGGCUUUCCUUCUCCUUCCUCUAGUCCCAGCGUCACAACUCCGCCGACCUCCUCUGCCCUGAGAGCGCGUCCGGUGCGGGCGGAGUCGGACGGACUCUGGCUUCACGCCUCGCGCGGGCACACCUUCUCCCGGGCACUGAGGCCCAGGACUGUGAGCUCUGGGGCUCCGGGACUGGAUCUGCUUCACCUCUAUCCCCCAGCACCCAGCUCAAUUCCCGGUCUAUAGUACUCACCAAUAAAGAAUGCCUGUUGAAUGAC